UGACCUCAAAUCAGGUAGGACUACCCGCUGAACUUAAGCAUAUCAAUAAGCGGAGGAAAAGAAACUAACAAGGAUUCCCCUAGUAACUGCGAGUGAAGCGGGAAAAGCUCAAAUUUAAAAUCUGGCAGUCUUUUGGCUGUCCGAGUUGUAAUCUAGAGAAGUGUUAUCCGCGCUGGACCGUGUAAAAGUCUCCUGGAAUGGAGCAUCAUAGAGGGUGAGAAUCCCGUCUUUGACAUGGACUGCCAGGGCUUUGUGAUGCGCUCUCAAAGAGUCGAGUUGUUUGGGAAUGCAGCUCAAAAUGGGUGGUAAAUUCCAUCUAAAGCUAAAUAUUGGCGAGAGACCGAUAGCGAACAAGUACCGUGAGGGAAAGAUGAAAAGAACUUUGGAAAGAGAGUUAAACAGUACGUGAAAUUGCUGAAAGGGAAACGCUUGAAGUCAGUCACGUCGUCCAGGGAUCAACCUUGCUUUUGCUUGGUGCACUUUCUGGUUUGACGGGUCAGCAUCAAUUUUGACUAUUGGAAAAAGGUUAAGGGAAUGUGGCAUCUUUGGAUGUGUUUAUAGCCCUUGGUUGCAUACAAUGGUUGGGAUUGAGGAACUCAGCACGCCGCAAGGCCGGGUUUUAUACCACGUACGUGCUUAGGAUG
Molecule: ribosomal RNA, 644 nt
Filed under: Cortinarius venustus
Lineage: Eukaryota; Fungi; Basidiomycota; Agaricomycetes; Agaricales; Cortinariaceae
Description: eukaryotic LSU rRNA
Rfam family: Eukaryotic large subunit ribosomal RNA
Source: RNAcentral